RNAcentral lists this ribosomal RNA (467 nucleotides) under uncultured bacterium. RNAcentral's name for it is "partial 16S ribosomal RNA". It matches the Rfam family "Bacterial small subunit ribosomal RNA", at positions 28 to 507 of the family's 1533-position model. The record is from RNAcentral.
GAUGAACGCUGGCGGCGUGCUUAACACAUGCAAGUCGAACGAUGAUGCCCAGCUUGCUGGGUGGAUUAGUGGCGAACGGGUGAGUAACACAUGAGUAACCUGCCCUUGACUCUGGGAUAAGCCUGGGAAACUGGGUCUAAUACCGGAUACGACCAUCUGGCGCAUGUCAUGGUGGUGGAAAGCUUUUGUGGUUUUGGAUGGACUCGCGGCCUAUCAGCUUGUUGGUGGGGUAAUGGCCUACCAAGGCGACGACGGGUAGCCGGCCUGAGAGGGUGACCGGCCACACUGGGACUGAGACACGGCCCAGACUCCUACGGGAGGCAGCAGUGGGGAAUAUUGCACAAUGGGCGCAAGCCUGAUGCAGCGACGCCGCGUGAGGGAUGACGGCCUUCGGGUUGUAAACCUCUUUCAGUAGGGAAGAAGCGAAAGUGACGGUACCUGCAGAAGAAGCGCCGGCUAACUACGUG